UGGCGGCAGGCCUAACACAUGCAAGUCGAACGGUAGCAGGAAGUGCUUGCACUUNGCUGACGAGUGGCGGACGGGUGAGUAAUGCUUGGGAACUUGCCUUUGCGAGGGGGAUAACAGUUGGAAACGACUGCUAAUACCGCAUAAUGUCUACGGACCAAACGGGGCUUAGGCUUCGGCGCAGAGAGAGGCCCAAGUGAGAUUAGCUAGUUGGUGGGGUAAAGGCUCACCAAGGCAACGAUCUCUAGCUGUUCUGAGAGGAAGAUCAGCCACACUGGGACUGAGACACGGCCCAGACUCCUACGGGAGGCAGCAGUGGGGAAUAUUGCACAAUGGGGGAAACCCUGAUGCAGCCAUGCCGCGUGUGUGAAGAAGGCCUUCGGGUUGUAAAGCACUUUCAGUUGUGAGGAAAAGUGAGUAGUUAAUACCUGCUCACCGUGACGUUAACAACAGAAGAAGCACCGGCUAACUCCGUGCCAGCAGCCGCGGUAAUACGGAGGGUGCGAGCGUUAAUCGGAAUUACUGGGCGUAAAGCGCACGCANGCGGUUUGUUAAGCUAGAUGUGAAAGCCCCGAGCUCAACUUGGGAUGGUCAUUUAGAACUGGCAGACUAAARUCUUGGARARGGGAGUGGAAUUCCAGGUGUACCGGUGAAAUGCG
Molecule: ribosomal RNA, 656 nt
Filed under: Alteromonas sp. W9a
Lineage: Bacteria; Pseudomonadati; Pseudomonadota; Gammaproteobacteria; Alteromonadales; Alteromonadaceae
Description: bacterial SSU rRNA
Rfam family: Bacterial small subunit ribosomal RNA
Source: RNAcentral